GUGUCAGCAGCCGCGGUAAGACGAACCGUGCGAACGUUGUUCGGAAUCACUGGGCUUAAAGGGCGCGUAGGCGGCCCGCAUAGUCCUGGGUGAAAUCCCCCGGCUCAACCGGGGAAGUGCCUGGGAUACUGGCGGGCUAGAGUGGGGUAGGGGCAGACGGAACUUCCGGUGGAGCGGUGAAAUGCGUUGAUAUCGGAAGGAACGCCGGUGGCGAAAGCGGUCUGCUGGACCCCUCCUGACGCUGAGGCGCGAAAGCCAGGGGAGCGAACGGGAUUAGAUACCCCGGUAGUCCUGGCCCUAAACGAUGGGUACCAGGUAGUGGGCCGGCAUGGGCCCACUGCCGGAGCGAAAGUGUUCAGUACCCCGCCUGGGGAGUAUGGUCGCAAGGCUGAA
This 393-nucleotide ribosomal RNA is filed under the name uncultured bacterium. RNAcentral's name for it is "bacterial SSU rRNA". It matches the Rfam family "Bacterial small subunit ribosomal RNA", at positions 505 to 898 of the family's 1533-position model. The record is from RNAcentral.